This is a non-coding RNA of Danio rerio (zebrafish), 2096 nucleotides long. The record is from RefSeq and is a predicted model, not a curated record. NCBI's taxonomy places the organism in Eukaryota, Metazoa, Chordata, Actinopteri, Cypriniformes, Danionidae.
UCCAUGAAAACUGAAAUCUCCAUUAUCAUCAUUACUGGUGUGUGUGUGAUUGCGCUGCUCGCCGUUGGAUUCCCUCUGACUGUGUGUAUAAUAGGACACAAGAGAACAGGAAAAAACUGUACAGCAGAGAAGAAAACAAGGGGGAAAACUACUUCAUCAGACAGCGGACAUGAUCAGACAGUCAGUCCUGAUGGAGCAUCUUCUGCUGGGCUUCUGUACGCAUCCGUCACUUUCCAGAAGCAUCAAGAGUCUCUCAGUGAAGCUGGAGUCACCUUCAGGACAAGUCAGGUUUACUCUGAUUAUACCACAGUCGUUUUACCACAGUAAACUCACCCAUCACAGAUCAUCACAGUACAGCAGUGGAUCAUAUAUUAGUUCAUAUUUGGCUGGGUUGGGUUUGAUUGUUGUUCAGUUCACUCUGUUGAAGUUUCACUGCUGCUCGUGUUGCUUCUUUCACACCAUUAAAAUAGUUCUUCAUCUCGCUUUAUCUGAGCUCAUGGUGAAGACAGGAAAUAAUACCCCAAAGAGAUAUUUCUAGAAUAAACUAUAAAGUUUCCACUUCAAACACAGCAGUAGCGUUUUACAGUAAACAAACCGCAGCUUCUCAACAGACACAAGUUUAGCCAUCCUUCAUGAUGAAAAUUGACAAUCAUCAUUUGUACUUUUUAAGAGCUUUUAAAAUUAUUAAUGUGUUUUCUGAAUAUCUGAAUAUUAAUUAUGACAUAAAUAUUUUUAAUACCCUUAUUUUUUUACCGACUUGCUUUAUGCAUUAACUUCCUCAUGUCUUUUUCAAAAUUGUUUUAGUUAAUUCUUGUUGUUUGCUCUUAGUUAGUGUUUCUGAUAUCAAUGCUUACAGCUUGCUUGUGCAAUUUUUGUCAUCAUUUCUUGAUAUUGUUGUUAGUUUAAUAAUAAGUGAGGUUACAUUUUCACAUGUUUAACACAUUAAUAUUAUGCUUUUCUACUGUGAAAUAUAAAUUAGAUGAUUUCACGUGAUUUUUUUGUAUAAUUUUUUUAGGAUAGGUCUAAAUAUUCUCAUACUCCUAUAGCUUAUCCAUGAGAAGGUCGUAUAGUAUUUUAUUUCUCCCUGUAUUCAUCAUUUGUAAGGAGUUUUAGCUUUGUCUGAAAGUUUCUCUGGAACAUUGUAAGUAUGUUUUGUGUUUGUAUGUGUCUCUGUGUUAUUUUUACAUCCAGCUCAAAGCCAAAGAAAGCAGGUGGAGGUUCAGACUCUCAGUUCUCAGUUCUGUGUUCAGUCAGUAAAACUCACAGUGAGACUGAAGAGCAGAAGGCAAAGACUGAACCUGUUUAUGUCUGGUCACUUCAUAUGUUUUAAUUAUGGUAAAUAUUUAAUUUCUUUGCCAAUUUAAUUAGGUUACUGUAACUAAAGCAUCAGAUACAUUACAUUUUAGUUAAAUUAUUAUUUACAGAAGCGUAAGCUAUUUAUCUAUUUUUGCAUUUAAAUAAUUUUAUAUGCAGGCUGUAAAACAUUAUGACAAGCACACAAGGAGGCUCCAUGAACACAUUUAUUAUAGGCUAAAUUAAACAUCUUUCCGUUGCUCAAGCUCUUGCAGCCCUCAACGCAUCUGUUCCCAUGUUUAUAUUUUUAAAUAAGGGGUAAAAUGUACAUAUGUGGUUUUAAUAACCAGAUGUGUUUAGAUCUGUACAGUUUCACCUACAAACCACCUUCUGAAUUGUUCUGAGUGACCAUAUUUGCAUAUAUGCAUUGCUAGAGGCCGUCGUCUUUAACCUCUUUGUUGGAGCAACUGACUCCCAUGUGGAAAGUCGCCAGUUCAAUCUGAGCUCAGAGCGGGUUGGGUGGUGUACGACCGGUGGGGUUACAUCAGUAACUAUGAGUACUGUUUUUCAGAAUUUGCCCAAAGGAAUGGCAUUGUUUAAUCUUGCAAUAUCUUUCUUUUAUUUGUUAUCACUCAAGGCUGUGCAAUUUUAGAAAAAGUAUAUAAAUAUAUAUACAUAUACUCGUUAGUAUAAACAUUAUUCUGUCUUUUCUUGUAAAUGCCCCAGUGUUUUAUGUUUGCAGUGUUAUUCUGAUUAAAAGAUAAACAAUUAAAAACAUUUUGUUCUUGUAUUUUGAUAUUUUA